GGCUCAGGAUGAACGCUAGCUACAGGCUUAACACAUGCAAGUCGAGGGGCAUCAGGAAGAAAGCUUGCUUUCUUUGCUGGCGACCGGCGCACGGGUGAGUAACACGUAUCCAACCUGCCCUUUACUCGGGGAUAGCCUUUCGAAAGAAAGAUUAAUACCCGAUAGCAUAAUGAUUCCGCAUGGUUUCAUUAUUAAAGGAUUCCGGUAAAGGAUGGGGAUGCGUUCCAUUAGGUUGUUGGUGAGGUAACGGCCCACCAAGCCUUCGAUGGAUAGGGGUUCUGAGAGGAAGGUCCCCCACAUUGGAACUGAGACACGGUCCAAACUCCUACGGGAGGCAGCAGUGAGGAAUAUUGGUCAAUGGGCGCUAGCCUGAACCAGCCAAGUAGCGUGAAGGAUGAAGGCUCUAUGGGUCGUAAACUUCUUUUAUAUAAGAAUAAAGUGCAGUAUGUAUACUGUUUUGUAUGUAUUAUAUGAAUAAGGAUCGGCUAACUCCGUGCCAGCAGCCGCGGUAAUACGGAGGAUCCGAGCGUUAUCCGGAUUUAUUGGGUUUAAAGGGAGCGUAGGUGGACUGGUAAGUCAGUUGUGAAAGUUUGCGGCUCAACCGUAAAAUUGCAGUUGAUACUGUCAGUCUUGAGUACAGUAGAGGUGGGCGGAAUUCGUGGUGUAGCGGUGAAAUGCUUAGAUAUCACGAAGAACUCCGAUUGCGAAGGCAGCUCACUGGACUGCAACUGACACUGAUGCUCGAAAGUGUGGGUAUCAAACAGGAUUAGAUACCCUGGUAGUCCACACAGUAAACGAUGAAUACUCGCUGUUUGCGAUAUACAGUAAGCGGCCAAGCGAAAGCAUUAAGUAUUCCACCUGGGGAGUACGCCGGCAACGGUGAAACUCAAAGGAAUUGACGGGGGCCCGCACAAGCGGAGGAACAUGUGGUUUAAUUCGAUGAUACGCGAGGAACCUUACCCGGGCUUAAAUUGCAGUGGAAUGAUGUGGAAACAUGUCAGUGAGCAAUCACCGCUGUGAAGGUGCUGCAUGGUUGUCGUCAGCUCGUGCCGUGAGGUGUCGGCUUAAGUGCCAUAACGAGCGCAACCCUUAUCUUUAGUUACUAACAGGUUAUGCUGAGGACUCUGGAGAGACUGCCGUCGUAAGAUGUGAGGAAGGUGGGGAUGACGUCAAAUCAGCACGGCCCUUACGUCCGGGGCUACACACGUGUUACAAUGGGGGGUACAGAAGGCAGCUAGCGGGUGACCGUAUGCUAAUCCCAAAAGCCUCUCUCAGUUCGGAUCGAAGUCUGCAACCCGACUUCGUGAAGCUGGAUUCGCUAGUAAUCGCGCAUCAGCCACGGCGCGGUGAAUACGUUCCCGGGCCUUGUACACACCGCCUGUCAAGCCAUGGGAGCCGGGGGUACCUGAAGUACGUAACCGCAAGGAUCGUCCUAGGGUAAAA
This 1443-nucleotide ribosomal RNA is filed under the name uncultured organism. RNAcentral's name for it is "SSU rRNA". It matches the Rfam family "Bacterial small subunit ribosomal RNA". The record is from RNAcentral.